CAUCACUACGCUAGAUGCAUAUCAAUAAGCGGAGGAAAAGAAACUAACAAGGAUUCCCUUAGUAACGGCGAGUGAAGCGGGAAGAGCUCAAAUUUGAAAUCUUCAAGGUUUACCUUGACGAAUUGUAGUUUAUAGAAGUGUUUUCUGUUGAAGUUUUGGUAAAAGUUCUUUGGAAUAGGACAUCAUAGAGGGUGAGAAUCCCGUAUUUGACCGUUACUUUCCAGCUGUGUGAUACACUUUCAAAGAGUCGGAUUGUUUGGGAAUGCAGUCCAAGAUGGGUGGUAAAUUUCAUCUAAAGCUAAAUAUUGGCGAGAGACCGAUAGCGAACAAGUACCGUGAGGGAAAGAUGAAAAGAACUUUGAAAAGAGAGUUAAACAGUACGUGAAAUUGUCAAAAGGGAAGCGUUUGACACCAGUGUUGUUUUUCCGAAAAUCAAUUACGAAUGUUUUAUUUUUGAGAAGUUAUGACUUCAUCGGCUUGCUUCUCUCUUUAUGAAACUUUCUUAAUGCACUUUUCGGUUAACAAGUCAACAUCAAUUUCUUUUGUUGUAAAAGGGUAUGAGGAAGGUGGCUUUCUUUUCGGAGAAAGUGUUUAUAGCCUUGUACCUCUGCAAUCGGAGAGAUUGAGGUCUGCAGCGUAGAUCCUUCGGGGUUAGAUACAUUUGUGCUAAGUUAUAGCUUUUCAUAGACAACUUGUUGACUAUGUUUAGUCUUGUAGCUUACUCGCAUGCGCUAUUUUACCUACGCUUAGGAUGUUGACACACGCGCGUGCUCG
Molecule: ribosomal RNA, 774 nt
Filed under: uncultured Neocallimastigales
Lineage: Eukaryota; Fungi; Neocallimastigomycota; Neocallimastigomycetes; Neocallimastigales
Description: partial large subunit ribosomal RNA
Rfam family: Eukaryotic large subunit ribosomal RNA
Source: RNAcentral